GCUCCUAAAGCAUGGAUUCUUGCUAAAUUUUUGCUGAAAAAUUCUUAGAAAAAUCUGAUUACAAAUCGUCAGUUUUUCCAUACUUUGUUCUUGGUUUUUCCAACACCGUAUGCCACCGCCGAUCACCGGAAAGGAACUCCGGCCACAUCACCAUGGCCCCAGUCACCGUCAGCCAUAGCCUCGGCUGACGGUAGGUCCCCUG
RNAcentral lists this long non-coding RNA (202 nucleotides) under Elaeis guineensis (African oil palm). Its description in RNAcentral is "long non-coding RNA (EGUI_LNC072967)". The record is from RNAcentral. Lineage: Eukaryota; Viridiplantae; Streptophyta; Magnoliopsida; Arecales; Arecaceae.